RNAcentral lists this unclassified non-coding RNA (361 nucleotides) under Hevea brasiliensis (rubber tree). The record is from RNAcentral. Lineage: Eukaryota; Viridiplantae; Streptophyta; Magnoliopsida; Malpighiales; Euphorbiaceae.
UAGAGAUGAAAAGAAAAGAAAAAUCAAAAUAAAGUAAUUUGUGAUAUCAUAAUGAUGUCAUUUAUAAAUUACCAACCAAUCACAAGCUAAUAAGCUUUCUUAAAUACUUAAAAGAGACAAAACAAAGACCAAAAUAAUUAAAAAUCCAGCAGCCAUCAUCCUCCCCAAUUGCAGCCGAAAUCAAGCCUUGCCCUAAACCUCCAUUUUCUUCAUUUUCAAGCUUGAAAAACCUCUCAAACCUCACCCCAAAACCCUAAGUCAUCUUCACUAAAAUUUAUCUACACACCCUAAGGAAGCUUUAGGCAGCCAAAAGAGGAAGAAAGAAAGGAGUUUGGGUGGCUGAAAAUUCUGCCACUUAAAG